Molecule: ribosomal RNA, 441 nt
Filed under: uncultured bacterium
Lineage: Bacteria
Description: partial 16S ribosomal RNA
Rfam family: Bacterial small subunit ribosomal RNA
Source: RNAcentral
CCUACGGGAGGCUACAGGGGGGAAUAUUGCACAAUGGGGGAAACCCUGAUGCAGCGACGCCGCGUGAGUGAAGAAGUAUUUCGGUAUGUAAAGCUCUAUCAGCAGGGAAGAAGAAAGACGGUACCUGACUAAGAAGCCCCGGCUAACUACGUGCCAGCAGCCGCGGUAAUACGUAGGCGGCAAGCGUUAUCCGGAUUUACUGGGUGUAAAGGGAGCGUAGACGGCUGUGCAAGUCUGAAGUGAAAGCACAGGGCGCAACCCUGGGACUGCUUUGGAAACUGUGGAGCUGGAGUGCUGGAGAGGUAAGUGGAAUUCCUAGUGUAGCGGUGAAAUGCGUAGAUAUUAGGAGGAACACCAGUGGCGAAGGCGGCUUACUGGACAGUAACUGACGUUGAGGCUCGAAAGCGUGGGGAGCAAACAGGAUUAGAUACCCUGGUAGUC